RNAcentral lists this ribosomal RNA (562 nucleotides) under uncultured bacterium. Its description in RNAcentral is "bacterial SSU rRNA". It matches the Rfam family "Bacterial small subunit ribosomal RNA", at positions 338 to 916 of the family's 1533-position model. The record is from RNAcentral.
CCUACGGGAGGCAGCAGUGGGGAAUAUUGGACAAUGGGCGCAAGCCUGAUCCAGCAAUGCCGCGUGAGUGAUGAAGGCCUUAGGGUCGUAAAGCUCUUUUACCAGGGAUGAUAAUGACAGUACCUGGAGAAUAAGCUCCGGCUAACUCCGUGCCAGCAGCCGCGGUAAUACGGAGGGAGCUAGCGUUGUUCGGAAUUACUGGGCGUAAAGCGUACGUAGGCGGUUAUUCAAGUCAGAGGUGAAAGCCCGGGGCUCAACCCCGGAACGGCCUUUGAAACUAGGUAGCUAGAAUCUUGGAGAGGUCAGUGGAAUUCCGAGUGUAGAGGUGAAAUUCGUAGAUAUUCGGAAGAACACCAGUGGCGAAGGCGACUGACUGGACAAGUAUUGACGCUGAGGUACGAAAGCGUGGGGAGCAAACAGGAUUAGAUACCCUGGUAGUCCACGCCGUAAACGAUGAUAACUAGCUGUUCGGGCACUUGGUGCUUGAGUGGCGCAGCUAACGCAUUAAGUUAUCCGCCUGGGGAGUACGGUCGCAAGNUUAAAACCUUAAAUGAAUUGACGG